Molecule: ribosomal RNA, 1272 nt
Filed under: Lasmigona complanata
Lineage: Eukaryota; Metazoa; Mollusca; Bivalvia; Unionida; Unionidae
Description: 16S ribosomal RNA
Rfam family: Archaeal large subunit ribosomal RNA (bases 843-1191)
Source: RNAcentral
CCAAAACUUAACUUUUCAUUUAACCUUAAAGAAAAUCCUCACUACAAAAAGUAUUUUUCUAAAAAUUAAUUUAACCUAAUCAACCGCAAGGUACUAACAUUCAGCUUUUUCAAGAAAUGAUAACCUCAUGUCCCUCUUGCAUCAUGGAGAAGCAACAAAAAUAUAUUCAUAUACAUUCCCGAAUGACUAUGAGCUACUAACCCUUAAAAACCAAUGUUUCAUAAUUGGUAAAGUAACUAUUAGUAGGAGUAACAAGCCUCUCAUAUAGUCAGAUAGCUGGUUUUUCUUCAAAAGCAUCAAAGUACUAGCUUAUAGGUAAUCUCAACACCUAAAACUAUAAAGCUUAAUUUAUUGGGGAUUAGCUCAAUAAAACUUUAAAAAUAUUUUACCCUUCAACUUCAUCAGUAGACUUAAAAGCAGCCACCUCAUAACGUUUUAGUUAUCGCAAUAUUUUAUCAAAUAUCUAUUAUAUCUAUUUUAACCACAAAGAAAUUUAACAGAAAACUUUCUUGUUACUAAACAGGCAUUCUAUUAGUAUUUAACGUAAGAACCAUCCAAUACUUUUAAAAACUUGGAACAAAAUCUCUUUACAAGUCAAAAAUAUGCAAGGCGAACUCGGCAAAUCCGUUCCAUGCCUGUUUACCAAAAACAUCGUCUUCUGAGAGCCUAGAAUAGAAGAUAAUGCCUGCCCAGUGAAAACUUAAACGGCCGCGUUAGCGUGAGCGUGCUAAGGUAGCGUAAUAAUUAGCCUUUUAAUUGAAGGCCAGUGAAUGGCAAGACUAGGAACACCUUUACUUUGCAUGUCAAAAAAACUUUUCAUCUAAGCGAAAAAACUUAGAUAAUAAAGGUAGACGAAAAGACCCCGCGGAGCUUUACUUUAUCUUGUACUUAUCAUAUACCAACCCUAAAUACUCAAAGUUUGAUUGGGGCAAUCUUGGAAUAAGCAAAACUUCCAAUCUUUCAAAUAAGCUUAUCUAAAACUUAUUAAGGACCAAAAAGAAGUUACCCCGGGGAUAACAGCGUAAUUCAACUUGAGAGUACAUAUCGAAAGUUGGGUUUGCGACCUCGAUGUUGGCUUAAGGAUAUCCACAUAAGUGCAACCGCUAUGAAAGGAUAGUCUGUUCGACUAUUAUACCCUUACACGAGCUGAGUUAAGACCGGCGCAAGCUAGGUUGGUUUCUAUCUCCUUUAACUAAAAAUCUUCUUGAUUGUACGAAAGGACCCCGAAAGUUGCAUCAAUAAAGCAAUUUAAUUAAAUUAAUUCUAAUUUAU